UUUAAGUAUUAGGGUACAUGUGCACAAUGUGCAGGUUAGUUACAUAUGUAUACAUGUGCCAUGCUGGCGUGUUGCACCCAUUAACUCGUCAUUUAGCAUUAGGGAUAUCUCCUAAUGCUAUCCCUCCCCGCUUCCCCCACCGCACAACAGUCCCCAGAGUGUGAUGUUCCCCUUCCUGUGUCCAUGUGUUCUCAUUGUUCAAUUCCCAUCUAUGAGUGAGAACGUGCGGUGUUCGGUUUUUUGUCCUUGCGAUAGUUUACUGAGAAUGAUGAUUUCCAAUUUCACCCAUGUCCCUACAAAGGACAUGAACUCAUCAUUUUUUAUGGCUGCAUAGUAUUCCAUGGUGUGUAUGUGCCACAUUUUCUUAAUCCAGUCUAUCAAUGUCCAACAAAGAUUUGGCUUUCUUUUCAUUUAGAAAGAAGCUCUCACAGUGGAAGACUAUAAUAUGACAUAAGAAGAAAUGUGGACUUGGAGAUACAGAAGACAGAGUUUUACUUUUGUUACCCAGGCUGGAGUGCAAUGGCGCAAUCCUGGCUCACCGCAACCUCCGCCUCCCAGGUUCAAGCAAUUCUUCUGCCUCAGCCUCCCGAGUAGCUGGGAUUAGAGACGGGGUUUCAUCAUGUUGCCCAGGCGGGUCUUGAACUCCUAAACUCAAACAAUCCACCUGCCUUGGCCUCCCAAAGUGCUGGGAUUACAGGUGUGGGCCAUCGUGCCCAGCCUCAUACCAUGGACUCUUACACAACAACAAAAAAGAAGAAUAUAGAAUAUAGAAAUCAGCAUUGAAAGAUCUCAAAAACAUACUAUGGAAUGACAAAAAGCCAAGUUUCAGAAUAAUAUAUACAGUGUAACAUUUAUAUAAAGACCGAAAACAUGCAAAACUAUGUAUUCUUUAUAAAAACAUCUAUCUAUACUGAAAAUAUAGAAACAAGAGUAGGAAUGAUGAACACCAAAUUCACAACAGUGGUUACCUCUGGUGGAGACAGGGUACAAGGGUACACAGUGGGCUUCAAUUAUACACAAUAUUUUAUUACUUGAGUGGGGCUGUAAGGGUUGAUUAUAUUGUUUUCUAUAUAAUAUUGUGUGCUGGCAACAUUUCAUAACAAGGAAAAAAGGAAGAAAAUAUCCUAAAACAAAUUAAUAUGUAACAAGUAAAAUGUUAGAACUGAUCAAUCUAAAGUCCAACUCUUUGAAAACAUGAAAGAUGGCUGGGCACAGUGGCUCAUGCCUGUAAUCCCAGCACUUUGGGAGACCGAGGCGGGAGGAUCACCUUAAGUCAGGAGUUCGAGACCAGCCUGACCAAUAUGGAGAAACUCCGUCUCUACUAAAAAUACAAAAUUAGCCGGGUGUGGUGGUGUAUGCCUGUAAUCCCAGCUACUCGGGAGGCUGAGGCAGGAGAAUCGCUUGAACCUGGGAGGCAGAGAUUGUGGUGAGCUGAGAUCGCACCAUUGCACUGUAGCCUGGGCAACAAGAGCAAAAUACCGUCUCAAAAAAAAAAAAAAGUAAAAAAAAAAUAAAAGACAAAUCUCACACAAAGCAAAAGAAAAAAACUAAGAAACACAAAUAGCUAAUACCAUAGAGAAAAAUUUUAAAGAGUGAAAUUAACAGACUAUUUACAAAGAACUCAAAAGCAGGCCGGGCGCGGUGGCCCACGCCUGUAACCCCAGC
Molecule: long non-coding RNA, 1665 nt
Filed under: Homo sapiens (human)
Lineage: Eukaryota; Metazoa; Chordata; Mammalia; Primates; Hominidae
Description: PREDICTED lncRNA (TCONS_00084965)
Source: RNAcentral